GUUGUUAGCUGAUAUCCAUGGCAGCUGCAGUGGCAGCGGCAGGGGCCGUGUGUGUGAGUGUGUGCACUAGUUGUACUGGACUGGCAGGAGGGGAGGGGGCAGGGGGGCGGGAGCAGGCUGGAGGGGGAGCAGGGCCGCGCGCGCGCGCGCCGGGUGGGGAGCCGCUCCGCCGCCGUCUCUCUCGCUGGCUCGCUCCCUCCCUCCCUCCGCAGCUUGACCCGGUAGUGAAGGCGGGGAGAGAGGCAGGCUGGGUCCGCCUGGCGGCCUCCGCGAGGAGGCGGGAGCGGAGAGGAGGGCCCCGAGGCCCGCGCGGGGAGGCCGCAGGGAGGGCGGCGGGGCUGCGCGCCCAGGACCCCCGCCUCCCCCGGUGCGGCCCGGGCUGCGGCGACGCGUCGUGGCCUGGACGAGGGGCGCCGGGGCCAGCGCUGCGGCUGUCGGUCCGGGGGUCCUCCUGCGAGGUCCUCCUGCGGGGUCCUGCGGGAUGCAGGGGCCGAGCUGGCGGCGGGCGCGGGACUGCGGGGCGGGCCUGGGCGCAGGAGUUCCCAACUGCGACAGGCUCUGCCUCCCCGUGUGGACGGACCCGACGCCGAGUUUGCAGAACGCCCCUCCGAGGAGCGGGAAGUUGCGGAGAGCCGGGGACCGCGCGGCGCGGGGCGGGCAGCCGGCAGCAUCCCCCGGGCGGGGCUGUCUGGAGAAAGGCGACGCCGGGGAGCGAGGGCAAGGGGCUUCGCUUUUCCGUGUGAGGGGAAACGGAAAGAAAGGGGCUGCGGGUCGGGGUGGGGCAGCAGGGAGCAGCCCCCUCGGAGCAGAGGACCCUUUAACCCGGGACCUGCGGUGGAGACGGCAGGGGCACACCCUCGGCCAGCAAAGCCCGCAGACUCGGGGUUGUAACCUGGGAAGAAGCCUUAGGAUGACCCUGCCGGCCAAGGUCCUGUGACAGAGAAGGCAAAGACGGCUCCGAGGGUGAGCACAGAGGCAGCACCGGAGCUGGAACUCAGCUCGCUGCCCGCAGCCGGCGCCUCUCCCUUCACCGAGUUUGCAGUCGCGAGGAGAGGAGCACAGUCUACGGGGACUGUUGAUGAGCCAAGAAGUGUCGUUGGCGGAGAUGUAGAAAGGAGAGAACAGAGAGAAUCCAAGGAUCUUAAUGGAAGAAUUACAGCAAGAUGAGGAGCAAACUCGAAAGUCAGCGUAGAGAUGGACAAGGCUGAAGCAUUCAGUGAAGAGAUUUCACGCUCCUUUUCUCCGUGUUGCUGAUCUCAAUAAGAGGAAAGAAAGGCUUAAGAUGGAAGAUCUGCUUUGGUGGAAAGAAGAUGAGCGACUUUUGAGCAUCUGUAACGCCCAGCUGCUCCCUGGCACUGGGGAGAAACUAAAGCUGCUACAAAGCCAGACAGAAACCACGUCGGAGAAUCACCCAGGAACAGCUCUGGACCUCCCUUGGAAGAAGAUGAGAUGGCUUCCAGUGGUCCCCAUUUCCCUUUUUGUCCUUCUCUUGCUAACCUUCAAGCACUGCUACCUCCUAGGUUUCUGCCCAAGGCGCCAACAUCACAAUGCUUUCCUUCUUGCUACUAUUGUUGAGAUCUUUCCUUCCUCUACCCUUUUCCCCACUGCUUAGACAAGUCAUUGCCAACCUUCCUCCUAGUGAAAUCACCUCUGCUAUAUAGAAUCAGUUUCUGAAGUGUCAAUUAAUCAGUCAGAUCAAAGAAUACAGGCUAAUGCUGUCUCAGAUCACCACAGUUUCCUGAAAAAAAAAUAUAUCUUCAUCUUUUUUGGUCAGAUUCAUGUAUGACUCUAUCAUAAAAGAUGGUGAUAAAUUUCAAAUCCUGAAGAACUUUCAAGUUAUAUAUUCUGUUUACUAACAGUCCCUAAAACCAAGUAGUUACCCCAAAAGAAACAACCUAUGAUCUGAGUUUUAAAGUUUAAGACACAAAUGGAAUCCUGUCCCUUAGACAAUCACAUUUCGGGGUAGCUUUGCGCCCAGAUCCAUUUCUCAAAGUUCCUAUUCUCUGCCGCGGAUCACAGGAAAUAUAAUUAUUGCAGGCUGUGUUUCUCAGGCUCCAGGUUUGCUGGUUUGCAUCUGGGUUUGGUCAAUGGCAGGAGAGUGGACACUGAGUGAGAAGGGGAAUCCAGGAUAUGUGCCCCCCUCGCUGUCUAAGCAGUGUCUUCAGGAAAGACUGUUCUUCCAAGCUUCUAUCUGCCUCCAGAAAAGCCCUCAUGGUUCCAGCUCCCCAGCUGGUUCUGAUCCCUGAACUCUGGUGGGACUACCUUUUCCCUUUGCCCCUCUGCCUGUGGUAAUGGGUUUCUGUUUCCUGAUCUCUGAGCCAUCUUGCAGAUUUCCUGCUUUGUGUCUCAGCUUUUUCAUGACCUGUAUAACCAGCUCUUUGCAUUCAGAACCCUCUGAUGAUGAAAUAUCAGAGUGACUUUCCUGGUUGGGCUCUUCACAGAUGGGAAGUCCUAGAGACGACAAUACUUAGCAUCGCACAUACUUUCCCACGAGUUAUUUCUGCCAUAAACUGGCUCUGGUUAUUGAGUUUUUCAAAUCAACGUGAGACAGACAAAGGUGAUGAGAAGUCAGUUAGUACAGUUUCUCUUCUAAUUUCGUUGUCUGAAAACUGCCAGAUGGGAAGAUCCACCAAAUACCCAUUUGUUAUGAUGUCAACCUGAGAAAACAAACCAAUUAAAUCCCUUGACAGGAAAAGAAGUGCAUUUUUUUUUUUUGACACCAACUUACUCUUUAUUAUCAGUAAUGAUCAAAGAAGUAAAGAGGAGCAAAUGGCUAAUGGAACUGUUGCAUAAUAGGGCGUUGAUUUUCCUCAAUGCUCGACUUGACAUUAUUUAAUUUAAUUUACCAAGCAUUUAUUGAACAACUAGGCUAUGGCAAGUAAUUGUGCUAAGCCUAAGGAUAGAAUAAUGAAUAAGAGAAAAAACUUGUCCUAUAAGACUUCAGUCUAUAGGGGAGACAUGCUAAUUUAGGACAAAGUGGAAAAAAAUGCAAGUUGCUGACGAGAGAAGGAAGAACUAACUCUUGUUUGGGGGACGUGUAGAGGGGCUGAGCAAGAAAGAUUUUCUGAAGAGGUGAUGUGAUAGUUCAUUUUAUGAGUCAACUUGACUGAAUCACACGAUGCCCAGAGAUCUGGUUAAACAUUAUAUUAUUUCUAGGGGUACCUGUGAAGGGUUUCUGGAAGAGGUUAGCGUUUGAAUUGUUAAACUGAGUAAAGCAUAUUGCCCUCCCCAGUGUGGGUGGGCAUCAUCCAAUCCACUGGGAGCCAGAGUAGAAAAGAGGGUGGAGAAGGGGAGAAUUCCCAGCUCUCCACCUGACCGUUGAGCUGGACCAUUGACCUUCUCCUGGUUCUUAAGCCUCCAGAGUGGGACUGGAAUCUGCAUCACCAGCUCUCCUGUUCUGAGACCUUAAAAUGAUCCUAUCAGCUUUUCUGGGUCUCAAGCCUGCAGACAGCAAAUCAUUGAUCUUCUCCAUAAUCUCGGGAGACUUGUUGUAUAUAUGGAUGAAUGAAUAGGAGAAGAAAUAAAUAAUAACUAAAAGUAGGUGAAUUGAAGGAAAGAUAGGUACUUAGAAACAUAUAGGUAUUAGAAAUAGAACCAAUAGGAUGAAUAUAUAUAAGGUGACAAUGGCGAACACAGUGCUAGGUAUGUUAUUGCAACUCCUUUGAUAUUGUUGGGGCAGCACCUUUAUCUAUGGCUACUUUGGCCCAACAGGCUGAAUUAUACUCUCCUACAUGGGCUUGUACUUCAGCCAAGGAAGGGCAAAACUGCCAACAUUUGUACUGAUUGUAAAGAUGCUUUUGGAGUAGCUCAUGAUUUUGGAAUAUUGUGGAUGUAACCUGGCUUCCUUACUUCCAGUGGAAAUAAAAUUAAAAAUGGCCCCUAUGCUCAGGGAUUAUUGGAUGCAAUACUUUACCCUACUGCAUUAUCUAUUAUUAAGAACCCAGCCAUCCUAAAUUUGACUCUCUGAAAGCUAAGAGAAAGCACCUCUCUGACCCUUCCACAAGGAAUUCUGACCUUUAAGGCAGCAACAGCAGCCAAAACUCUGCCAUGGUCCAAAAGGGAUAUUUUCCCAAAGAAAAACUGGCUAGAGAAGUCCAACAAUUGACAUCAGAAAGAGGAAAACAAGAGUGGAAAUUCAACAAUUGUUGGGUUGAUAAAAAGCGAAAGCCCUGGUCCAGACCAAAUAACAGCCCAGUCCUACCUGAGACUCUAAAAUUCCCAUUCUUAACCACUGUGCAUGCAUUUAACCAUUGGUCUACAGACAAAAUAAUAGCAUUUGUGAAUCGAUACUAGUGGGGAAAUAUUAACAAGGCUGUAAAAAUUGUCUACCUCACUUGUCCCCCUUGCCCAAAAUACAACCCAGGGAAGCCUGUUUGUACUGAUCCUGGACAUGUUAAACGUCUAGUGGGUGAUUCAAAGUUUGGCACAUUGACAUCAAACAACCGUCUCUGCCUCGUGGAUAUAAAUAUGUUUUGGUCGUGGUAUGUUUGUUUUCUCAUGGGACAGAAGCCUUCCUUUACAGACAGGCUACUGCCUCUUCUGUGACUAAAGUCCUUUUGGAAAAGAUUGUCCCUACCUGGGGGAACUCUUCGCAAACUUCAUAGUGAUUGACAAAUCCAUUUUACUGGUCAGGUACUUUGACAAGUCUGCACUGUUUGACCAGUUUUACACUUUCGCUGUACGUACCACCUUCAAUCCUCUGAUUUAGUCAAACACACUAAGGAUAUUAUUAAGACUCAACUGGUGAAAUUUGUGGAGACCCUCCAAAUACCUUGGCCGAAAGCAUUGCCAUUGGUCCUUCUGAAUCUCAGAUCCACCCACUCUGGAACUCAUAAACUCUCACCUUUGAGACAGUCACAGGAUGACCAAUGCACUUGUCUCCUGCCUCUUUUGACCCACAGCUGAUAAAAGGAGAUAGACUCCAAUAUUGCAAAGACUUAAUUGCUUCUAUUAAAAAUAACCAUUCUUUGGUAGAGCAAUCUUUUCACAGUGUGAUCCAGGGAGAUGAAGACCUUACGCAUUGCACCUUGCAACCUGGAGAUUUCGUCUAUUGGAAAAGACACCUCCAGAAGGACCUCUCUUCAGCCUCGCUGGAAAGGCCCCAUCAGAUACUGCUAACUAACCCUUGUGCCACAAAACUGUAUGGAAUAGACAGUUGCAUUCACAUGACACAUCUAAAGAAAGUAUCAGACUCUGACUGGACCUGCACAUCAUCUGGUGACUUAAAAGGAAAGAUUUCCUGGAUUGAAGUAGAUGGCAUCUGAUGAGACAGUUUUCCCAGAUGUCUCGACCAGGCUAGUUGGAAGUUUGUCUGCCAAACCUUUGAUGAUGACAUAAUGCUUCAGAUGACCUCCAAUGCCUGUGCUCUUGAAAACAUAUGGACUUUAGGGAAAAAAAAAAGUGCCUUAGAGUUCUUUCUUCUACCCUCCUUGUUACUAGAAUGUGACCUCAAUAGAUUUCCAAUCUGUUCGCUUUCCCUGUGACGUGGGACACGAUACCCAGGAAAGGUCCUUCCUGGCAUGGAGGAACAAAAGGCCAAUGAAACUGGAAAAACCUGAUUUUUUUAUCAACAAUGCCUUCAAAGAAAGAUCUCAAUCAAAAGGGGAAAAUAUAAAAAUUAAUUAACAGAAAUCUCAUUUAAAAUGGAGUGGGGAGGCCAGAAGGGGCAGCUCUCAUGCCCUACCAUGAUAGCAGAUCCCCACAGGAGCCCCACAUUGACUCAACCAAUGAAAAGCCACUAUAUUUUAAACUCUCAAUUCCUCCAAUGCAAUCUUUGUUUACAGUAGCCCACCCAACUUCCUCUUCCCCUCCAUAAGAGUUUCUCCUCCCCUUGUUGCUCAGAAAUUUCAUGUGGCUUGCCAUGAUUGCAGAUCUUGAAUUGCCACUCUUUGUUAAUCCUAAAUAAGCCCAUUUUUGCUGGAGAAAUAACUGGCUGUCUGUUUGUUUAAGGUUAACAGAUAUAAUGAGUCUGGGAUUCAACACAUGCACAAGAGUUUGUUAAAUGUUGCAAAUAUGAGAUAUGAUAUGCUUUUGAGGAAGAUUAUGAAGAAAGUAUGGGGAGAGUGAAACUGGUUAGGAAAUUCAUGUAAUGUAAACAUACGUCCCUUGACCUGAGAGUAAUGAGAAUGCGAGCUAAGGCAAUAGGAUUGGAAAUUGGAAAGAAAAAUGUGUUCAAUAAAUAUUUAGAAAGUUGUGUUGACUUGGUAUUAUGACUGUUGGCGUGUUUUGUUACAGAGUGAAGAAAACUGGUUAAUGAUAUCAAUAUAUUCAGGUAUUUCAAAAUCUAUCGCUAGAUAGACUGGAAAUAGAAUGGGAAUUAAAAGUCUGUAAUCAGCCCAACAUGGGUAAAAUUGUUUUCAGCUUUAUCAAAUUGUUAAUUGAGGCAGCAAAACAAAUUAGUUAAGAACAGAGAUUCUGGAGUCAGAACCUCUGACUUUGAACUCAGAAUCUGCUAGAAAAUAAUAAUAGCUGUAUAUUGAAUAAAUAGAUGAAACAAUAAGUGCAUAAAUAAGAAAUUAAUAAAAGUAGAUAAAGUGGAAACAAGAUCGGUAUUUAGAAGCAUAUAGGUAUUAGAUAUCUUCGGUGACAUUUCUGUAACUCGACUUCUUUAUCUGUGAAAUGGGGAUAGAAAUAGGACCUACUUGUCAUGGCUGAUAAUAUAUCCAAAGAGGUUAGAAUAGAGUCUAACAAGAUAUUACCAUUGUUCUUUCACCUAGGAUAUUUUUAUUAGAAUACAUCUCAUUGAAUGUUCUUUUUAAGAAAGUAAGGAUUUUUGUGUAUUUUGUUGACUAAAGAAUCUGAAGCGCCCAGAAUAGUGGCUGGCAAAUAAUAGAUGCUUGAUAAUUAUUUAUUGAAGGAAUGAGAAAAUAGCUCUA
RNAcentral lists this long non-coding RNA (6875 nucleotides) under Equus asinus (donkey). Its description in RNAcentral is "lncRNA (ENSEASG00005024410.1)". The record is from RNAcentral. Lineage: Eukaryota; Metazoa; Chordata; Mammalia; Perissodactyla; Equidae.